RNAcentral lists this ribosomal RNA (505 nucleotides) under uncultured Rhodospirillaceae bacterium. RNAcentral's name for it is "bacterial SSU rRNA". It matches the Rfam family "Bacterial small subunit ribosomal RNA", at positions 383 to 906 of the family's 1533-position model. The record is from RNAcentral. Lineage: Bacteria; Pseudomonadati; Pseudomonadota; Alphaproteobacteria; Rhodospirillales; Rhodospirillaceae.
CUGAUCCAGCAUGCCGCGUGAGUGAUGAAGGCCUUCGGGUUGUAAAGCUCUUUUGCCCCCUAAUAUAAUGACGGUACCUGAACAAUAAGCCCCGGCUAACUCCCUUGCCAGCAACCGCGGUAAUACGAAGGGGGCAAGCGUUGUUCGGAAUUACUGGGCGUAAAGGGCGCGUAGGCGGCUGAUCAAGUCAGGCGUGAAAUCCCCGGGCUCAACCUGGGGGCUGCCCUUGAUACUGAUCAGCUUGAAUGCGGGAGAGGAUAGUGGAAUUCCCAGUGUAGAGGUGAAAUUCGUAUAUAUUGGGAAGAACACCAGUGGCGAAGGCGGCUAUCUGGCCCGUUAUUGACGCUGAGGCUCGAAAGCGUGGGGAGCAAACAGGAUUAGAUACCCUGGUAGUCCACGCCGUAAACGAUCAAUGCUAGACGUUGGCGAGCAUGCUCGUCAGUGUCGCAGCUAACGCAUUAAGCAUUCCGCCUGGGGAGUACGGUCGCAAGAUUAAAACUCGAAG